UGGGUCGGCCAGGCAGUCGCUCUUCACUUCGGUGGAGGGAGGAAAGUCCGAACACCACAGGGCAGGGUGCCCCGAGUCAAUCGGGGGUCUUGCGGGCCAUAUCCCGCAGGAACGGAUCGUGUCACAGAAAACACACAUCCCGUCCGCGUGAGCGGACGAGAAACAGGUGAAAAGGUGGUGUAAGAGACCACCGCUCGUUCAGCAAUGAGCGAGGCAAGAUAAACCCCACCCGGUGCAAGACCACGUAAGUCAUGGCUGAAGCGGCCCGCUUCUGUCCCGCCCUGCGGGACACCGUGACGGGUAGGUCGCAUCAGAGAAAUGACUGCCUCCCCUGCCUUCGCGCAGGGAAGACAGAAUUCGGCUUAUCGGCCGCCAACCU
This 379-nucleotide RNase P RNA is filed under the name Ignavibacteria bacterium GWA2_55_25. RNAcentral describes it as "RNase P RNA component class A". It matches the Rfam family "Bacterial RNase P class A". Rfam says of the family: Ribonuclease P (RNase P) is a ubiquitous endoribonuclease, found in archaea, bacteria and eukarya as well as chloroplasts and mitochondria. Its best characterised activity is the generation of mature 5'-ends of tRNAs by cleaving the 5'-leader elements of precursor-tRNAs. RNAcentral also lists the same sequence under 1 other name. The record is from RNAcentral. Lineage: Bacteria; Pseudomonadati; Ignavibacteriota; Ignavibacteria.